UUCUGUUAGCUAAAAAGCUGGCUGAUCUCGUGUUUGUUACGAGAUGUGUGGUGCGUCCAGGUUGUUGGCGGUUUUGUAGCGCCGGUGGCGUGCGUCUGCCUAUAUAGGUCUAUGUAGCCCGUGAUUUGUUCACAGUUUGAGCUGGAGAAAAACGCUGUUUGUCAGCGAGGCAUUUGUCGCCGCAAAACACCUAUGCGUUUACUUCUUCUUCUACCUCUCUCCCCGAAAACCAGUUCGUGCUAUCUAGGGUUAGACCCAACAAUUGGUAUACAGAGCCUCGUUUGUUCCUCUUCUCGUGGCCAUGGCGAUCGUCCCGCACGGCGCCGGGGGGAGCACGGUGUCCAUGGCGAUGCCGAUGCUCACACCGGACAACUACACGGUAUGGGCGAUCAAGGCCGAAGCUAUCCUCGACGCCCAGAACCUCUGGGAAGCGGUGUCGCCGGCCGGCGACGCGGGGAAAAACAAGACGGCGAGAGCGGUGCUGUUCGGUGCGCUCUCCGAAGACUUGUUGAUGCAGGUAUCAACGAAGAAGACGACGGCUGAGGUGUGGGCCAGCUUGAAGACGAGGUUCGUCGGCGCUGAUCGGGUCCAGGCGGCGCGGCUCUCCACUCUCCGUGGCGAGUUUGACAACCUGCGCAUGGAGGAGGGGGAGGCGCUGGACGCGUACGCCGGCAAAAUCGGCGGCAUGGCAGCAAGGUAUGCUGGCCUCGGCUCGACGCUCGGCGACGCCGCCAUGGUGAAAAAACUGCUCGACACGGUGCCUGAUCGGUUGUAUGCCGCGGUGGCCGGGAUCGAGCAGUUCUGCGACGUGGAGACGAUGGCGUUCGAGGAGGCGUUGAGCAGACUCAAGGCGUUUGACGAAUGCUUACGUCGGCGCACGCAGGACAACAGCGGACGAGGCGGCGAUCAGCUGAUGUUCACAGCGGCCCAGUGGGAGGCACGACAACGUCAGCGCGGCGGCGGCCUCGACCACGAUGAUGGUGCGAGCAGCGUGGCCUCGGGCACGAGACGGCGGCGCGGGAAGUGAUACAACUGUGGCGUUCGUGGCCACUUCUCCCGUGACUGCCGGCAGCCGAAGAAGGAGAAGGCGCUCCUCGCCGACGUCGACGAAGAACCUGGCCUCCUGUAGGUCACGAUUUAGGGGGAGAUUGUUAGGAAUAAACAGUGUGUGUGUGCGGAUGUGUGUCGCGUGUGUGUGCCCGUUCCUGUCCGUGGUCACCAGCGUAUGUGUGCGCGUGUGUUUGGGUCGAGUCUAGCCGGUUGGUGGCGAUCGUAUGGCGAUCGAGAUAGCGUGCAGCAGGUGCAACGGGAGGAACCUGGUGCCAGGUCGGGCGGACGAGCAAGCCGGGCUCACGAUCGAUGGAAGACCGGAUCGCUAGGGAGGCUCCGUGAGCGCUGCGUUUCUGUUAGCUAAAAAGCUGGCUGAUCUCGUGUUUGUUACGAGAUGUGUGGUGCGUCCAGGUUGUUGGCGGUUUUGUAGCACCGGUGGCGUGCGUCUGCCUAUAUAGGUCUAUGUAGCUCGUGAUUUGUUCACAGUUUGAGCUGGAGAAAAACGUUGUUCGUCAGCGAGGCGUUUGUCGCCGCAAAACAACUAUGCGUUUACUUCU
RNAcentral lists this long non-coding RNA (1607 nucleotides) under Triticum aestivum (bread wheat). RNAcentral's name for it is "long non-coding RNA (TAES_LNC004998)". The record is from RNAcentral. Lineage: Eukaryota; Viridiplantae; Streptophyta; Magnoliopsida; Poales; Poaceae.